This 397-nucleotide ribosomal RNA is filed under the name uncultured bacterium. RNAcentral describes it as "partial 16S ribosomal RNA". It matches the Rfam family "Bacterial small subunit ribosomal RNA", at positions 523 to 918 of the family's 1533-position model. The record is from RNAcentral.
AUACGUAGGGGGCGAGCGUUGUCCGGAAUGAUUGGGCGUAAAGGGCGCGUAGGCGGCCCGGUAAGUCUGGAGUGAAAGUCCUGUUUUUAAGAUGGGAAUUGCUUUGGAUACCGUCGGGCUUGAGUGCAGGAGAGGUAAGUGGAAUUCCCAGUGUAGCGGUGAAAUGCGUAGAGAUUGGGAGGAACACCAGUGGCGAAGGCGACUUACUGGACUGUAACUGACGCUGAGGCGCGAAAGUGUGGGGAGCAAACAGGAUUAGAUACCCUGGUAGUCCACACUGUAAACGAUGAAUGCUAGGUGUAGGGGGUAUCGACCCCUUCUGUGCCGCAGUCAACACAAUAAGCAUUCCGCCUGGGGAGUACGGCCGCAAGGUUGAAACUCAAAGGAAUUGGCGGGG